CCUACGGGAGGCAGCAGUGGGGAAUAUUGGGCAAUGGGCGCAAGCCUGACCCAGCAACGCCGCGUGAAGGAAGACGGCUUUCGGGUUGUAAAGAUCUGUUGACAGGGACGAAUAAGCAAUGCGAAUAGUUUUGUGUAUGACGGUACCUGUUUAGAAAGCUCCGGCUAACUACGUGCCAGCAGCCGCGGUAAUACGUAGGGAGGCAGCGUUGUCCGGAAUUACUGGGCGUAAAGGGCGAGUAGGUGGGCGCUUAAGUCAGGUGUGAAAACUCCGGGCCCAACCUGGAGACUGCACUGGAAACUGGGGGUCUUGAGGGCAGGAGAGGAAAGUGGAAUUACUAGUGUAGCGGUGAAAUGCGUAGAUAUUAGGAGGAACACCAGUGGCGAAGGCGACUUUCUGGACUGUACCUGACGCUGAGGCGCGAAAGCGUGGGUAGCGAACGGGAUUAGAUACCCUUGUAGUC
This 463-nucleotide ribosomal RNA is filed under the name uncultured bacterium. RNAcentral describes it as "partial 16S ribosomal RNA". It matches the Rfam family "Bacterial small subunit ribosomal RNA", at positions 338 to 795 of the family's 1533-position model. The record is from RNAcentral.